CGUUAAUCUCAGGGCGGGGUGAAAGUCCCCACCGGCGGUAGAUACCUGAAUACAUAGGUAAAGCCCGCGAGCGCUUUGUGUUGCUAUUGUAAUGCAAAGGUCAGCAGAUCCAGUGUAAUUCUGGAGCCGACAGUUAAAGUCUGGAUGGGAGAGAAUAAAA
Molecule: non-coding RNA, 160 nt
Organism: Proteus penneri ATCC 35198
Lineage: Bacteria; Pseudomonadati; Pseudomonadota; Gammaproteobacteria; Enterobacterales; Morganellaceae
Source: Rfam